Salmo salar (Atlantic salmon) is the source of this 5719-nucleotide long non-coding RNA. RefSeq lists it as uncharacterized. The record is from RefSeq and is a predicted model, not a curated record. Lineage: Eukaryota; Metazoa; Chordata; Actinopteri; Salmoniformes; Salmonidae.
UCACUCACAUAGCAGAUUUCGCCUCAGCCAGGGUUACCAGCCUGUUCAUGCCUUUAGCAGUGGUACAUCUAAUCUGUGCAAGAAAACAUCCACAAUUUAAUUAGAAAAUAGAGUAAUUUGGUUUUGACUGAUACAGCAUGAGGUGAAUGACUAAGUGAAAGCGACUUAUAUGUAGGGCUGGUGUUUCUUCCAGGAUUUGAUGAUAAGAUGAAACUGUGUAUCUGUCUGAUUCUAUUUGAUUACUGUCUCCUACACUACAUGUUGUGACUUACAAUGUAGGAUCUUAAUUUGAGGCAAUUUGCUACAGCAAGAAAAUUGUCCUGCAGCAACAAGAAAUGUGAAUUAUUAUGUGGAAUAUAAUUCAUGUAUAUUUUUGUAGGUGUUGAUACAUUUUUUGUUAGGGCAAAUCAAUUCUGAAAUUUUGAAAGUGGAAAUGAAAACUUUAGAACCUUUUUUAAAGCUAAAAUACACUACAAGUUUGCAGCAACAAAAGAGUGAUCAAAUGAAGAUAGUACAUCUGUAAGGUCCAUGUGCUAAAGGAUACUUCCUAUUUCUUUUUAUCUUGUCAAAGCUUGUGCUUGUCAAGGCCAAACAAGGAAAUUAAUCGUUGUAGUUGUAAACAGAAAUUGGAUAUCAGCUUAUUUUCUCGUUUAUGGUGUCCAAAUUCGGCAUUGAGUAACAGAAAACAAAUAACAACAACAUUUAUCGCAUUUUUCGUUUAAUUCAUAGCUGGAAAUACACGCCGCCUAAUAUAAUAUUCACAGUGCAUAGCAGGUGUUUGCUUACAGUCUGGGUUGAGCUGCAGUGUCAGCAGCAGAGGGCUGGGGACGAACAAAAUCUGAAUACAAGCUGUGGUUGGAUAGGCAGUGGCAUGGCGAGAGAGAUUGGGGUUGUUUGGGAGGGAGUUUAGCCCCUCUGUGGUUCUUCCUGCUAUUCUACCUUGGUUUCUCCCUCAGCCAGUGAUAGAUCUAGGGUUGCUUGAGGCUAAGAGCUGUUGAGGAAGGAGUAGAUUCAGUUGUAAGUGAACAUUUAAGAACACAGUACUAUGCUUUCUUGAAUAUAUUCACAGAUGUAUCUAAGGACCCUAAAACAGGGAGGACAGCAGCAGCUUUUAGUGUUCCUGUGUUUAAGGUGGCAGUGACGAAAAGAGCCACGGAUCAUUUAUCUGUUUACACAAUGGAGUUGUUGACCAUACUAUUGGCUGCAGAGUGGGUGGAGGUGGGGAGGCCAGACAGAGUAGUCAUCUGCUCUGACACCUGUGCAGCACUGAUGACCUUAAAUGAAUUUGUGUCUCAGAGCAGACAGGAUGUGUUGUAUGAGGUUUUGCAGCGCUUGUAUAAGGUGAGACAGAUUGUGGUAUUUGUGAUGUUCCUCUGGGUACCAGCUCCAGUGGGAGUAGAGAGGAAUGAGGUGGUGGAUGUUAUCACCAGCCUCUUAAACAUCCUAAUGUUGAGAUGGAAUUGUCAAUCAGUAAAGCAGAAGCCAAGAGGUUAAUAAGAACAGUGGUUAAAAACAAAUGGCAAGAGUUGUGGAAUAAGGGAGAGAAAGGGAAGACCCCUGUAUAAGAUCCAGGAAAAGGUGGGGACAGGUAGGUCCUCAGGCCGAGAGAGAAGGGAGGAAAGUGUAGUCACAAGGCUGAGACUGUGACACACAAGUACAUUGAAAUUCGUAGGGAAACAUUCAACUGGGUGGUGUGAUCAUUGUCAGGAGGAGAUGGAGACAGUUGAACAUGUUCAGUUUCAGUGCCAGGAAUAUGUGAGGGGAAAGGGAGUGAUUGUUAUUAGAUUUGAGGAAUAAUGGUGUUAAGUGAACUGGGGAAAUCUUCAGGGGCUGUAGUAUUUAAUUAUGUAUUUCGUUUCCCUAGGGAGAUGAGAUUAUUGGGUAUGAUUUAGACCUUCACUCUCUCUGGUCCACAUUCCAGUCAAUUUGGUGGCGGUAAUGCACCUGAAAGUUGGUUGCCAACCGCCAUAUACAAUCCACAGAAGAAGAAGCAGGAGUAGAGCGCUCGUCAAAGGAGUCAGCCCAGGGGUGACGACGGAUGUUCAUGUUGAAUACAUGAAGAGAAUUCCUGGUGUGGUUGGUGCCCGGUGUCUGACCCGCUGGGUGAAUGGGGAAAAAGAAGGAAGUCUGUCGGUCCUGUUUUUUUUUUUAUAAAGAGCAAAUACCUACGCAUGUGAAUCUUGGUUAUGUAAGAACUUUCGUCCAAAAACCACUACGGUGUAAGAAUUGUAAAGGAUUUGGCCAUAUUUCAAGUGUGUGCAGACGAACAGAGUAUAGUGAAGAACGGUGUGUAGAAGGAGAACGGUGUUGCAAUUGUGGUAGGGAUCAUGUCCCUGGAGUGCCCUGUAAGGGUGAAGGAAAUUGAGGUGGCAAAUGUUAAAGCGGUCAAAUCAAAUCGCUUAUGCGGAGGCAAUUUAAAAUAAUUGAUAAAACAAGUGAUGCUAGUGAAGAUAUGGUAGUGGAUACACCACAGCCUGUAGUAAAUGUUUGCUGCCAGACAGAAUAAACCCUGUGUGUCUUUAAAAAGGUGAUUUAUUUUUUUUGCGUUCAUUGCCACAGUUAGAAACUGUAGAGCACAAGUCAUAAAGAACUAAAACAAACUGGACAUUAUUGUGGCUGUGGCAGAAACUUUUUUGGGACUCAAGGAUUUUACAUCUGAAGACUUGCAAGAGGUACUGGUGCGGGAAGACCUGUCCUCCCAGGUUCCCCUUGAGCCUGUGUAGGGAUCAGAUCUAUUUCAUUAAUUUAUUUAUAACAGAAAAGUUGUUAGAUUUUAUUAAGUUUUGGGGGGGAAUCCUGUUUCCAUCCCGUGCAGUUGGUGUCGGGAUGCACAUUAAAUUGUGUGGUCGCCAAGAUGCCGUAGAAGACGUUUCGGGCAGGACAGAGAAAGGAUUAAACAAUUGUGUGACAGCCAGGAAGAUACAACUUGGAAUGUUAGCUAAGAUGCUUAACUUAUCAUUAAGUUAGCAUGCAAUAGGACGAACUCCACAACAACUGUACAUAGUUGGCUUGCACCACCUGGAUAGCUAGCAUUAGCCGGCUAACGUUACUGCUUACUAGUAGCAAGCUAGCCCUACCUGGCUACUGGCUAUAGUCAUGCUAGCUAGUAGUAGCUAGUGGAAGUAAGUUAGUCCCUCAACCAGCUACAAGAUGAAGCUGCCCGGCCAGAGGUACCUGCUGCAGAAAGGUGAGAUUUCUACAGUACUUUCUGUAGCUAAUUUAGCUAGAUAGUCUGUCUGGCUGGUGCUUAUUGACUGAGUAGGCUAAUAAUGAACUGCAGUUAUUGUGAAUGGUUACCUAUCUGUCCCUUUGCAUAGCUAUUUCUUACACAUGCAAUACAACCAUGUCCAGUUAGGCUACAGUCAAUGCUGAUAUUGUGUGUAUGUGUGUGGGGGGUCAGAAUGUGCCUGCAAAAGGACAGACUGCAUCUGAGCAGAUCAUCAUCAACUUCAUCCAGUUACAUCAGCCAAUACAGUAAGUUACAAUCGGGGUCUGCCCUGACAGUCCUGAAGAACGACGGAGAGGACUACAUCUUCACCACGGCAAACAGAUCCCUCUGUCCAGACCUUCAGUUCUGUUACCGGUAAGUUAGGGAAGGUGCCUAAGAAACUGGGUGAUAUUUUUAGAAUUCAGGAAAGUCUUGUGUUAUGAUGAUUAUCAUCAUUUCCUUUUGAAUCGUGGUAAGUUUUACAGUAUUAGUAGUGAACCGGUGUAGGAAGUUGUGGACACAUCAUUGUGCUACUUUUACCUUUUGCACAGAUUGUACCACAGUGUGUUCAGGCAGGAGUAUGGGGAACAGAAUGGGCCUGAGAUGCCCUCAGCCCUAGAGAGGCAGGUUGAGGAGUAUAAUCUUAGGUGCCGGCGAGAUCUGCGCCAAGAUUGAGAACCUCUGUAGGAACCCCUCGCGUGGCUAUCUACUCCCCACUGAUGAAGCGUUUCCAUCAGGCCAGACACAGUGAGGAGCUCUGCUUCAUUGAUUUCUCUGGGAACAUGGAACAAGAGAAGUGCAGAGGUUUUUUCUUUUCCUCCUCUUACCCACACCUGUGCUGGCGGUCUCCCCCUUGGGGUUAUCCUGAUUCAGUCUGAGGAUGAGGCCACAAUCCUCGAGUGCCUUCAACUGUUGAAGGACUUCCUUAGGGAGGAUGCCUUUGCAGGGAGUGGUCAGGCUGAUCCUCACCUUAUUACAGAUGACUGCAAGGCAAAGAGGGGAGCAUUAGGGAGGCCAUUUCCAGGGUCCAAACUACUCCUCUGCACCUUCCACCUACUCCAGGCAGUGUGACUGUGGAGCAAGGAGAGAGGAGUAGACCUGAGAGACAAGCAGACCCUCUUUGCUGUCCCAAAGACAUCAUGUAUGACAGGGAAGAGAUGGUUGAGCCCCUCUAUCAGCAGGCAAAACAAAACACAUUUGUAGCCAGGUUAGUGUAGUAUAACAGUAUAAUGAGGUGCAGUCUAUUAACUUAUGCUUUAUUCUCAGUAACUUUUCAGUUGUUGUAUUUUUUCUAAUUGAAAUUUACCCAGUCCUUGUUUGGGAUAUGUUGUUAUUUGGGAUACAUUUUCCCUUUAUACUUUGUAACCAGUAUGUGAUAGUUCAAGUACAUAUUUUACUCUAAUUACAGGUACAAGAAAUUCAUGACCUACUUCCAUCGACUGUUCAGUCGUCUAGAGUGUUGGGCACUCAGCUAUCGGGAGGAGCUGCCAACCUGAGGGAAUGACACCAGUAAGGCAGCAUGCGGAUCCUUAAGGAUAAAAUCCUCCAGAGGACGAAAGUGUUAAAUCUCCCUGCGACUGGAGGCUUACUAUGAGGCACUUGUCCUUGGCCGCUGGGAAAUGUUCCAGCGCUCACAUGUUCUGGCCCAGGAUAGUAGCGUUAACCCAUCUGAUAUCGAGCAGGUGAAAUAGUGAUGAAUACAGGUGUGGGGAGAAGCAGUACAGGGUGAAGGGCACCACACCAGGCCAGACCUAUACUGUGGACAUGUAUUUGUCCAGUAGGGCACACGGGAGCUCCAUGCAGACACCAGGCUGCUGUGGUCCAGAUAUACAAAUGCCUGUCCAGCAACAUCCUCCUGACAACAUCGGAGAUGAGGGCUGAGUUGCUGAAGACAACAGGAGAUGGAUACCCUUUCACUACCCGUGGUGUGGGAAAAGGAUAUAGCCACACCCUGGAAAGAUGUUUGUGGUGCACUCACUCAUAACAUGUUUUUGAGUGAUUAAUGAGUAUCAUCUUGAAGCUUGAUAAGAAGAAAUCAGUUACAAGGCAAAAAGACAGAUUGAGGCCUUCAAUCAAACUGAGGACAGAGAAAUAUGUGUUCACUGGGUCAAGGCUUCUUGCAUGCAUGGCUUUUAGAUGCUAAAAACAAGUGGUUAAUUGCCUGAUGAAGAUUGACACUGCGCAUGGGAAUAUCUUUGGUUUGUCUCUGACAUUCAGAAGCUGAGUGCAUGUAUUCAAAAAUCGUUGGACGACGGACUUCCACAGGGCCGCCAUCUACAAAGUUCACUCAAAAUGCAAUAGUUCUGAACCAAGUUAGAUUUUUAAUUCACAUUCACAUCUCUUUUAAACUUCAAUUGGUUAAUAGCUAAUUGCUCAGUUAUCACUUGGCUCAUGUAAAUUCUUUAGUUUCCCCUCUAAACAUCCUAAGGUCAACAUCCUCAUAGUGUUCACAUUUUUGUCAUGUAAAUGUUGUUGCUACAUAAAAAGAUUAAAUGAACAAUUUGGGAAAUA